UGCCAGGGUGAUCAGGUGACUCCGAGCUCGCGGCGCUCCCCGCAGCGGUGACAUUAGGCGCACCGCGGCUCCUCACUUGCUCCGAGUUUGGUGCGGCGGCGUGUCUUGUGCGGUCUCGUCUGGUCCCGUCAGGUCCGACCGAAGCAGUGCCCGACCCGUUCGUGGAGAGGUGAGGCGCGGCGGACCCGACCCGGCCAAGCUGGCACCAGGGACGGGGUACACUCUGCAGGUCCCUGAUGAACCAAGGGAACCCUCCACCAUACCCGGGCCCCGGUCCGACGGCCCCAUACCCACCAUAUCCACAACAACCAAUGGGGCCUGAGGUCUACCCUCCAGGACCUCCUGGGGGACCUUACCCACCUCCUCACGGGUACCCCUACCAAGGAUACCCACAGUACGGCUGGCAGGGCGGACCUCAGGAGCCUCCUAAAACCACAGUGUACGUGUUGGAACGUGAAAGGAAGAUGGACAACACCGGGUGUCAGGCAGCCCUGGCCGCUUGCUGGGCUGCUCUCUGCUGCUGCUGCCUCCUGGACAACUUGGACUGAGCAGCCAAGACCCAAGUGCUCCCUCCAGGCCCGCUACCUCCUGUUACUGGAAUAAACGACCAGUGCUUCACAAUUUCCAUUUUUGCUUUCUUUGCAAAAUACCUGAUCUACAGACUUUUAAAUUUUAGCACCUAUGAUAGAUGUGAAAUGGUAUCUCACUAUUUUAAUUUACCUUCCCUGAUUACUAGUGACCUUGCACAUAAAACUAGAACUUUUUGGCAAUUUGCUUUUACAAAUCCUGUGAAUUGCUUGUACAUAUUCUUAGCCCAUUUUUUCUAUUGGUUUGUCUUUACUUAUUGAUUUGGAGGGAAUCUUUAAAUAUUCUGGACACUAAUAUUUAUCACUUUAUAGGCUUGCAAGUAUCUUCUGUCUCAACCUUUUUUAUAGUGUAUUUUCUAGUAUGAAAGUUCUUAAAUGUCAUAUUUAUCAAUCUUUCCCUUAUAUUUCGUCUUUUAGUCUUUGAAAUAUCAUUUUCUAUUCCAAGAUCAUAAACCUAUAGUUUCUUCUGAAAUUUUUUCAGGUAGUCUUUAGUCCACCUAAAUUUAUUUUUGGUCAUGGUAUAGGCUAGGGCUCUGGUUUUCUUCGUCCAUGUUGAGAGUUCCAACACCAUUUAUUGAUUAAGUCACCCUUUCCCCAUUGAUUUGAAAUGAGAUUUGUCAUAUACCAAGCUCCCACAUAUGAAUGAGCUAGAAUCCGGAGUCUGGUAUGGUAACCAUCUUCCCUGCCCCCAGCACAUGCAUUCACACAUACCCUUUGUCUUCAGGAUUAUUUUGGCUAUUAUUCGCCUCUUACUCAUUAAUCUGGAUUUUAGGAUGAGUCAGUUUCUGUGGCAAACCACCAUGUUUGGCUUUAAGUGAGAUGGCAUGUAAUUUAGAGAAUUGGGGGAAGAGUUGACAUAUUUACAGUAUUGUCUUCCUGUCAUGAAUAUGGUAUCUAUUUAUUUUUGUCUUCUUUUAUAUCCUUAGAUAAGUUGUAUAAUUUUCU
Molecule: long non-coding RNA, 1532 nt
Organism: Equus quagga
Lineage: Eukaryota; Metazoa; Chordata; Mammalia; Perissodactyla; Equidae
Exons: 3
Source: RefSeq, a predicted model, not a curated record